Long non-coding RNA from Oncorhynchus gorbuscha (pink salmon), 1391 nucleotides. RefSeq lists it as uncharacterized. The record is from RefSeq and is a predicted model, not a curated record. The transcript is spliced from 4 exons. NCBI's taxonomy places the organism in Eukaryota, Metazoa, Chordata, Actinopteri, Salmoniformes, Salmonidae.
GCGAGUACCACUCCCAAUUCGGCCUACACCUGGCACGAACUCGGGACCUCUGCCUUGGUAGCACACGUGACCGCCCUCCUUCAGCAUCACAAAAGCUAGCUAUUCGCUGGCGCAAGUGGAGACACUUAAGUUUCAAACAUCCCCAUGUGCUACAUAGACAUCAGGAUAGAUAAUAAGAGUAAAUAACAGAGUAGCAGCAGUAUAUGGUGAAUCAGGACCUUUUGCUGAUGUUCGACGAUGAAAACAUCCUCUAAGCUCCUUGAAAAGUGGGACACUGUAUUGAAGCCCAAAGUCAUCAAACUGACAAAAUCCUGACGACGACCACCAAUUUGCGUCACCUCCUGAAGUCUGCAGGAAAACUGCCAGAGAAUGACAGGGAAACCAACUGGAACAAGGAUAUGUCCUCCCUGCUGCUGCAGCUUCAUCUCCUCCCACCCCCAGCAGGAGGGAAGAGGACCAAGAUCAGUGCCAGUGAUGCUGUGGGCAGGCUAGUGCACUUUCAUAAGUCAUGCUGCAGCAUUGUAGACCAUCUUGAUAGGAGCCAUGGUCGACAGACAUAGCUCCUUGCCGUCGGAAGAAGACGGAGCAAGAUUGGAAAACUACUACAUCGUGGUGGACAAAAGGCUUGUUACCUGCCAGGCAACUAGUGGUCUGUGUGCAUUUGAUGAACUGUUCUGUUUGAUUGAAGAGUCUAUGACCCUAAGAUUGUCUUGCGUGGUGAAGAUCAAUUUGAAAUGCAUUGUAAUCCAUCGCAAUCAGACCCACAGCUCCCAUCUGUGUAUGGUGUAAAUGAUUCUAAACUAAACUGUUUGCAGCACUUCCAUGGUUGUAAUAAGGGGUGGCUCACUUUGAGUUAAAACUGUUUGAAUAUGUCUCUGAAAAUUUCAUUUUGAAACGUGCGCUUUGCUCUAGAAUCUGCUCAUUUGACUAUGGGUACUUGGAGUGCAAAAAGUGUCCAACUGAAGUCAACCUAGAGAACAGUGGAAAUAGCCUUGUACUUAACUCUAUUCAAACUCUAUCACUGCAAAUAAUCAUUGUUUUUUCCCCUUUUCUUAGCCAGGGCAUGACUGUGGAUCUAAAUCAUUUUAUAAUUGAACGUCACACACUUUUUAAACAGUUGCAUAAAAACGUGUUACCCAAACAUAACUUUAUGAUACAUUACCCAGCAUGCAUAAGACAAACCGGUUCUUCAUUAAAUAUGUAGAUCAUGAGGUUUGAGGCGACGCACAAACUCUUUAAGAACACCCUCAAACUUACUAAGUCCCUUGCCAAAAAACACCAAUUUGCUGUAGACCAUCACUGGGAGACAUCACCAUUGCGACAUACUGAAUAUGGACCGAUAAAGGCAUUUUCCCUCAGUGAUUUUACUGGUGGUGAUGAGCUGUCAGCGU